CAGCCGCCGCGGUAAUACAGAGGAUGCAAGCGUUAUCCGGAAUGAUUGGGCGUAAAGCGUCUGUAGGUGGCUUUUCAAGUCCGCCGUCAAAUCCCAGGGCUCAACCCUGGACAGGCGGUGGAAACUACCAAGCUGGAGUACGGUAGGGGCAGAGGGAAUUUCCGGUGGAGCGGUGAAAUCCGUUGAGAUCGGGAAGAACACCAACGGCGAAAGCACUCUGCUGGGCCGACACUGACACUGAGAGAUGAAAGCUAGGGGAGCAAGUGGGAUUAGAUACCCCAGUAGUCCCUGUCUCUUAUAC
This 301-nucleotide ribosomal RNA is filed under the name uncultured bacterium. Its description in RNAcentral is "partial 16S ribosomal RNA". It matches the Rfam family "Bacterial small subunit ribosomal RNA", at positions 509 to 807 of the family's 1533-position model. The record is from RNAcentral.